UNAUGGGCGCGAGCCUGAACCAGCCAAGUAGCGUGAAGGAUGAAGGCUCUAUGGGUCGUAAACUUCUUUUAUAUGGGAAUAAAGUUUUCCACGUGUGGAAUUUUGUAUGUACCAUAUGAAUAAGGAUCGGCUAACUCCGUGCCAGCAGCCGCGGUAAUACGGAGGAUCCGAGCGUUAUCCGGAUUUAUUGGGUUUAAAGGGAGCGUAGGUGGAUUGUUAAGUCAGUUGUGAAAGUUUGCGGCUCAACCGUAAAAUUGCAGUUGAAACUGGCAGUCUUGAGUACAGUAGAGGUGGGCGGAAUUCGUGGUGUAGCGGUGAAAUGCUUAGAUAUCACGAAGAACUCCGAUUGCGAAGGCAGCUCACUAGACUGUUACUGACACUGAUGCUCGAAAGUGUGGGUAUCAAACAGGAUUAGAUACCCUGGUAGUCCAAGGGCGAAUUC
Molecule: ribosomal RNA, 442 nt
Filed under: uncultured bacterium
Lineage: Bacteria
Description: SSU rRNA
Rfam family: Bacterial small subunit ribosomal RNA
Source: RNAcentral